ACGUAGGGUGCGAGCGUUAAUCGGAAUUACUGGGCGUAAAGCGUGCGCAGGCGGUUAUGCAAGACAGAUGUGAAAUCCCCGGGCUCAACCUGGGAACUGCAUUAGUGACUGCAUAGCUAGAGUGCGGCAGAGGGGGAUGGAAUUCCGCGUGUAGCAGUGAAAUGCGUAGAUAUGCGGAGGAACACCGAUGGCGAAGGCAAUCCCCUGGGCCUGCACUGACGCUAAGACGCGACAGCACGGGGAGCGAACGG
RNAcentral lists this ribosomal RNA (251 nucleotides) under uncultured prokaryote. Its description in RNAcentral is "partial 16S ribosomal RNA". It matches the Rfam family "Bacterial small subunit ribosomal RNA", at positions 525 to 775 of the family's 1533-position model. The record is from RNAcentral.